CCUACGGGGGGCUGCAGUGGGGAAUAUUGCACAAUGGGGGAAACCCUGAUGCAGCAAUGCCGCGUGAGCGCCGAAGGCCUUCGGGUCUUAAAGCUCUGUCCUAAGGGAAGAAGCAUGACGGUACCUUAGGAGGAAGCCCCGACUAACUACGCGCCAGCAGCCGCGGUACUACCUAGGGGGCUGGCGUUAUCCGGAAUCACUCGGCUUAAAGGGUGCGGUGGCGGCGGAUUGAGCCAGGGGUGAAAGGCUAGGGCUCAACCGGAGUAAGGCGUUGGAACUGAUUGGGUUGUGUGCCGGGGGUGAGAGUGGAAUUACUAGUGUAGGGGUGAAAUGGGUAGAUUUUAGGGGGAACACCAGUGGCGAAGGCGACUCUCUGGACUGUAACUGAGGCUGAGGCACGAAAGCGUGGGGAGCAAACAGGAUUAGAUACCGCAGUAGUC
Molecule: ribosomal RNA, 440 nt
Filed under: uncultured bacterium
Lineage: Bacteria
Description: bacterial SSU rRNA
Rfam family: Bacterial small subunit ribosomal RNA
Source: RNAcentral